This 253-nucleotide ribosomal RNA is filed under the name uncultured bacterium. RNAcentral describes it as "partial 16S ribosomal RNA". It matches the Rfam family "Bacterial small subunit ribosomal RNA", at positions 524 to 776 of the family's 1533-position model. The record is from RNAcentral.
UACAGGGGGGGCAAGCGUUGUUCGGAAUCACUGGGCGUAAAGGGCGUGUAGGCGGUCAGGUUAGUGAGAUGUGAAACGCCCCGGCUCACCCGGGGACCUGCAUCUCAAACUGCCUGGCUUGAGUAUGGGAGAGGAUGAGGGAAUUCCUGGUGUAGCGGUGAAAUGCGUAGAUAUCAGGAGGAACACCGGUGGCGAAAGCGCUCAUCUGGCCCAAUACUGACGCUGAGGCGCGAAAGCUAGGGGAGCAAACGGG